Molecule: microRNA precursor, 114 nt
Filed under: Corchorus capsularis
Lineage: Eukaryota; Viridiplantae; Streptophyta; Magnoliopsida; Malvales; Malvaceae
Description: pre miRNA mir-172
Source: RNAcentral
AUUUUUGCUGAUGUGGCAUUUCCACGUCAAUACUCAUGUGGGUCUUACAUGAGCAAAAAUGAUAUGGUGGAUCCCAUAUGAGCGAUGACGUGGAAAUGCCACGUCAGCAAAAAG